UGGGGGAUAUUGCACAAUGGGGGAAACCCUGAUGCAGCAACGCCGCGUGAAUGAUGAAGGCCUUCGGGUUGUAAAAUUCUGUUCUUGGUGAAGAUCAUGACGGUAGCCAAGGAGAAAGCUCCGGCUAACUACGUGCCAGCAGCCGCGGUAAUACGUAGGGAGCGAGCGUUGUCCGGAUUUACUGGGUGUAAAGGGUGCGCAGGCGGCUCUGCAAGUCAGGCGUGAAAGCUAGGGGCUCAACCCCUAAAUUGCGCUUGAAACUGUGGAGCUUGAGUGAAGUAGAGGCAGGCGGAAUUCCCGGUGUAGCGGUGAAAUGCGUAGAGAUCGGGAGGAACACCAGUGGCGAAGGCGGCCUGCUGGGCUUUAACUGACGCUCAGGCACGAAAGCAUGGGUAGCAAACAGG
RNAcentral lists this ribosomal RNA (404 nucleotides) under uncultured bacterium. RNAcentral's name for it is "bacterial SSU rRNA". It matches the Rfam family "Bacterial small subunit ribosomal RNA", at positions 355 to 776 of the family's 1533-position model. The record is from RNAcentral.